UACGAAGGGUGCUAGCGUUGCUCGGAAUCACUGGGCGUAAAGCGCACGUAGGCGGCUUUCUAAGUCAGGGGUGAAAUCCUGGAGCUCAACUCCAGAACUGCCUUUGAUACUGGAGAGCUUGAGUCCGGAAGAGGUGAGUGGAACUCCGAGUGUAGAGGUGAAAUGCGUAGAUAUCUGGAGGAACACCGGUGGCGAAGGCGGCAUCCUGGACCGGUAUUGACGCUGAGGCGCGAAAGCCAGGGGAGCAAACGGG
This 253-nucleotide ribosomal RNA is filed under the name uncultured bacterium. RNAcentral describes it as "partial 16S ribosomal RNA". It matches the Rfam family "Bacterial small subunit ribosomal RNA", at positions 524 to 776 of the family's 1533-position model. The record is from RNAcentral.